RNAcentral lists this transfer RNA (85 nucleotides) under Felis catus (domestic cat). It matches the Rfam family "tRNA". From Rfam's summary of the family: Transfer RNA (tRNA) molecules are approximately 80 nucleotides in length. Their secondary structure includes four short double-helical elements and three loops (D, anti-codon, and T loops). The record is from Rfam by way of RNAcentral. Lineage: Eukaryota; Metazoa; Chordata; Mammalia; Carnivora; Felidae. RNAcentral also lists the same sequence under 3 other names.
GGCUGGGUGGCUCAGUAGAUUAAGCAUCUGACUUUGGCUCCAGUCAUGAUCUCAGGAUUUGUGAGUUCAAGCCCCACCCAUGUCA